Corapipo altera (White-ruffed manakin) is the source of this 148-nucleotide long non-coding RNA. RefSeq lists it as uncharacterized. NCBI's taxonomy places the organism in Eukaryota, Metazoa, Chordata, Aves, Passeriformes, Pipridae. The transcript has 2 exons. The record is from RefSeq and is a predicted model, not a curated record.
GAAGACUAUUUUCUUACAUAGAAAAAGAUUAAAAUACUGAAAAAAAGGCCAGUCAUGUCAUGUCGUCUUAUCCUUUGCAGUCAGGUUGACUACUGAAAUACACUGGAGCAAAGAAUUCAGAAGUUCUACCUUUCUUAUGCAUUGUCUU